AGAUGGGUGGUUGAGUGGUUGAAAACGUCAAUUUUGAAAAUUGUUAUGAAAAUUAUUUUUAUCAUCGGUUCGAAUCCGAUUCCAUCUA
This 88-nucleotide transfer RNA is filed under the name Thorea hispida. RNAcentral's name for it is "tRNA-Ser". It matches the Rfam family "tRNA". From Rfam's summary of the family: Transfer RNA (tRNA) molecules are approximately 80 nucleotides in length. Their secondary structure includes four short double-helical elements and three loops (D, anti-codon, and T loops). Further hydrogen bonds mediate the characteristic L-shaped molecular structure. tRNAs have two regions of fundamental functional importance: the anti-codon, which is responsible for specific mRNA codon recognition, and the 3' end, to which the tRNAs corresponding amino acid is attached (by aminoacyl-tRNA synthetases). tRNAs cope with the degeneracy of the genetic code in two manners: having more than one tRNA (with a specific anti-codon) for a particular amino acid; and 'wobble' base-pairing, i.e. permitting non-standard base-pairing at the 3rd anti-codon position. The record is from RNAcentral. Lineage: Eukaryota; Rhodophyta; Florideophyceae; Thoreales; Thoreaceae.